UCCCGGUUGGCCCGGGCAGUCUCGUGUGAAAAAUCCAACACACGAUAAGGGUUGCGCUCGUUGCGGGACUUAACCCAACAUCUCACGACACGAGCUGACGACGGCCAUGCAACACCUGUCACUGCAUUCCCGAAGGCACUCAACUGUUUCCAGUCGAUUCGCAGGAUGUCAAGUCUGGGUAAGGUUCUUCGCGUAUCGUCGAAUUAAACCACAUGCUCCACCGCUUGUGCGGGUCCCCGUCAAUUCCUUUGAGUUUUAAGCUUGCGCUCGUACUCCCCAGGCGGGGUGCUUAACGCGUUAGCUUCACAGCCCAGGGGGUCGAUACCCCGAACUAUUAGCACCCAUCGUUUACGGCGUGGACUAC
This 364-nucleotide unclassified non-coding RNA is filed under the name uncultured bacterium. RNAcentral's name for it is "contains 16S-23S intergenic spacer region". The record is from RNAcentral.